AUGGUACGUACGUUAACCGUG
Caenorhabditis elegans is the source of this 21-nucleotide non-coding RNA. NCBI's taxonomy places the organism in Eukaryota, Metazoa, Nematoda, Chromadorea, Rhabditida, Rhabditidae. The record is from Ensembl.